Lagopus leucura (white-tailed ptarmigan) is the source of this 99-nucleotide long non-coding RNA. RefSeq lists it as uncharacterized. The transcript has 3 exons. The record is from RefSeq and is a predicted model, not a curated record. NCBI's taxonomy places the organism in Eukaryota, Metazoa, Chordata, Aves, Galliformes, Phasianidae.
CAGUCCUUUCUUGAGGCUGGGAGACAAUUCUUUAUAUGUUUCAAGGGAAGGGAGUCUUUGCUCUUCAUUUUUCUACAGCCUGCCUUCAGCCUCACCUGC